RNAcentral lists this small RNA (117 nucleotides) under Helianthus annuus (common sunflower). RNAcentral's name for it is "Eukaryotic small subunit ribosomal RNA". It matches the Rfam family "Eukaryotic small subunit ribosomal RNA", at positions 477 to 594 of the family's 1831-position model. Lineage: Eukaryota; Viridiplantae; Streptophyta; Magnoliopsida; Asterales; Asteraceae. The record is from RNAcentral.
AUAACACUACCGGGCUCAAACGAAUCUAGUAAUUGAAAUAUGUACAAUCUAAAUCCCUUAAUGAGGAUCUAUUGGAGGGUAAGUCUAAUGCUAGUAGGCGCAGUAAUUCAGCUUCAA